Molecule: ribosomal RNA, 326 nt
Filed under: Salmonella enterica
Lineage: Bacteria; Pseudomonadati; Pseudomonadota; Gammaproteobacteria; Enterobacterales; Enterobacteriaceae
Description: bacterial SSU rRNA
Rfam family: Bacterial small subunit ribosomal RNA
Source: RNAcentral
GGUCUGUCAAGUCGGAUGUGAAAUCCCCGGGCUCAACCUGGGAACUGCAUUCGAAACUGGCAGGCUUGAGUCUUGUAGAGGGGGGUAGAAUUCCAGGUGUAGCGGUGAAAUGCGUAGAGAUCUGGAGGAAUACCGGUGGCGAAGGCGGCCCCCUGGACAAAGACUGACGCUCAGGUGCGAAAGCGUGGGGAGCAAACAGGAUUAGAUACCCUGGUAGUCCACGCCGUAAACGAUGUCUACUUGGAGGUUGUGCCCUUGAGGCGUGGCUUCCGGAGCUAACGCGUUAAGUAGACCGCCUGGGGAGUACGGCCGCAAGGUUAAAACUC